GGGGGUGAAAUUGGCUUCGACGGGAUUAAAGAGACACUAAACUGCGCACCGUGUUUCCUGCAGACACGUUAAACGGCGGGAAAAAACUUUAAUUGGCGAAUACGAUUACGCUUUAGCUGCGUAAAUUAACGCAGCCGUUCUCUGUUCUCUCUCGUACCGGGGUUCAGAAGGACGCCGUUAGGUAUGAUAGCUGAAUCAACCGCCCUUGUUGAGAAUGCGAAUUCCGCGUCGGCGGACCAAGGGGCAAGCUUAAAGUGAUCCUUGUCUGUUUGGUAGCUUUAAGCUAAAUAAAAACAGAAUAUGUGUGUAGAGGUUUUUUGGAUCUUAAUUUCGGACGCGGGUUCGACUCCCGCCACCUCCACUA
This 364-nucleotide transfer-messenger RNA is filed under the name Ignavibacteria bacterium. It matches the Rfam family "transfer-messenger RNA". Rfam says of the family: Bacterial tmRNA, also known as 10Sa RNA or SsrA, is named for its dual tRNA and mRNA-like properties. Its role is to liberate the mRNA from a stalled ribosome. The record is from RNAcentral. Lineage: Bacteria; Pseudomonadati; Ignavibacteriota; Ignavibacteria.